RNAcentral lists this microRNA precursor (137 nucleotides) under Hordeum vulgare. RNAcentral describes it as "microRNA MIR1122". It matches the Rfam family "MIR1120/MIR1122 microRNA precursor family". The record is from RNAcentral. Lineage: Eukaryota; Viridiplantae; Streptophyta; Magnoliopsida; Poales; Poaceae.
AAGGUACUCUCAUCUGUUCCAAAAUUUUUGGCUUAGAUUUGUCUAAAUAUGAAUGUAUCUAGUCACGUUUUAGUAUUUUGAUACAUUCAUUUUUAAACAAACCUAAGACAAGAAUUUUGGGACGGAGGGAGUACAAG